RNAcentral lists this long non-coding RNA (966 nucleotides) under Rattus norvegicus (Norway rat). Its description in RNAcentral is "long non-coding RNA NONRATT022391". The record is from RNAcentral. Lineage: Eukaryota; Metazoa; Chordata; Mammalia; Rodentia; Muridae.
CCGGGUCCGCUGGACCCUUGCGGAGUCUGUCGGAGGCGGGCUCAAGUUCAGGGCUGGGGACCCAGACCGAGACGCGGGGAUCCAGAAAGCUGGGGAGACGCGCUGGUGGCCUGGGGCGGAGGGCUUGGGUGGGAGUAGAGGUUACACACACACACACACACACACACACACACACACACACACACACACACACACACACGAACACACGAACACACCCGUGAAAGGGCUGAAUGAUCUGGGCGAUUGAAGCUGGCUCCGCACCCCCGCACUUCCGGGAGACAGAGCGACGCGGGUUAAUAUGGUUGUGUUCGCCCCGGGUGCGGGAGCGGCAAGUGGGUUGAAGUUGAGCGGGUUUGAGAGUGGCCCUCCCACGCCGAGUGCGCAUGGAAGUUUAGUUUCGGAGAAGGAUCUGCGCCGCAGUGUGCUGUGCUGGAAACCAGAGAUUUGCUGUGCUCGGAAUGAAUUCACCAGGGUCCCCGGCACAACACUUCAUUUUCUGGGGACGUGCCGGGAGGGGUUCGCUUUACCUCGGAGGGACCCCCUUCUAGGUGUGAAAGAUGCCACCCCGGCUCCUUGGGGUAUGGAAAGCAACAUAUAAAGGUUCGAAACUCAGGAAACCCCAGCGCUCGCCUGCACUAGCACAUACACACAGCCCCGCGCACACUCAGUUCGCGCCCGCCCUUCCUCCCUCCCUGAUUUGCUUCUGGGAAAACAAGCCUUGAGAGCUGCGGACUCGCCCCGAGUCACGGUGCUUAAGCAGGAGUCCCUGGUAGAAAGACUGAAAAAUCCCCUCCCCGCUCGAUGGUGGAUUCAUAUCCUGUGCGGCCUCUAGGAAGCGCUAGACACAUGCUUGCUUCAGAAAGUCACACAUCUUCCCAUGUCACCUGACAAUACAAGGGACUUCAAGGACAUACAGAAGAACAGAGUCCUUGGUCUCUGAAUGACCCUGUGGAAGGAUACUCACUG